CUCAAAGAUUAAGCCAUGCAAGUGGUUAUAAUAACCCGACAGUUUAAAUAAGUGUUCUAUUUCAAUACGCACUACACAAUUACAUACAAUAGUGUUAAUAAUAUCAUUGAAUAUUAUUUCACUUACGCAACUGCAGACAGCUGCUUAAUACAGUCACACUUGUCUUGACUUGGCUAAUGUUAUUGCCGCAAUGCGCGCGCAAUAUACUAAAAAUUAUAUACACUUUCGUAUAUUCAUUUUACUAACACACACACACACUUAAUGGAUAACUCAGGGAAAGUUUGGCUAAUACAUACGAGACUAUUUAACAACACACUGUAACAAUCAAUGCUCACGCAGCAUUAUUAUACACACAAACUCACGCGCGCGUUGAGCGAGUUACAGUUGUUAUAUUUUCAAUACUCAGCACUCAAUGGUAAACUUUGGUUCGCGCUUGUCGCAAUCAGUUUAAAGUUUAAUCGCAACAUGAGAGACAUUGAGCACGCAAUGUGAACUGCUUUUUGCAGUUUCACAACUAAUACGCUGAGCAGACUUUACGAAGUUUACUUUGUGAAGCAUGUCUUACAAGCAUCUACAGCAUCAAGUCACAGGGUUGGCAAGUGUAUUAUUGAACCUUCAAAGCAGUCACGCAUACGGAAGAGUAGUUUCUGAUCCCAUAGAAGGAGCACCGUACAAUGAGAGACCGCUCUUAGUUCUAAGGAACGCAGCAGGCGCGUAAAUUGCCCAAUGUUAGUACCCUACAAUUAUUGCAAUAUUUACGUAACAUAAAUAAAUAGUGCUGAAAUGUUACACACAAUAUUUAUAACUGCACAAAUAUUUAAUAUUUUAUAUCCUUGUUACAUAUGCUACUCAAUAAUUUUUAUUUACUGAGGCAGUGACAAGCUGUAACGGUUGAGUAUAAAAAUGACGAGUGUCUGGCAUUGCCGCUCUUUCGGGAGCUUGGCAAGUUGCCGACGCUUUGUGUGCUCAAUUGGAAUGCGGUGAGUUUAAGCAACUCAGAACCUUUGGAUGGUGUUAGGUAAUACUUCACUGUUCGUGUAUCUGAAUCUCAAGUGGAGGGCAAGUCUGGUGCCAGCAGCCGCGGUAAUACCAGCUCCACUGGCCUAUACAAUCAUUGUUGCGGUUAAGAGGCUCGUAGUUGGAUUGAACUGCAGACUUAAAUAUUUUAUGCGCGUAAUAAUCUAUUAUUCACACGCUACACACGUCUGUUCAGUUACUCAUCACAUUUUUUUUAGCAGCGCCGCGCGCGCUUGCCUUAUAAAAUGUCUUGAGUUUCGACACAUGAUUAGUUUAAUACGCGACUCGCGUACUUGAAUAGCUAUUACGCUCAAUACUUAUUUUUUCAACACUGUGAACAAAUCAGAGUGUAUCAAACAUGUCGUUUUUGAAUGUGCAAUGAAUGUCUUAUCAUGGGAUGUUGCCAUUAUUCAUUAACUACCGCGUGCCGUUGUAAUAAUACGCAACACACGCAUUGAAGCUAUUCAGCUCUCACACACACACACAACGCACGGGUUUAGUAUUAAUAAAACUAUAACUAUGUCGAUGGGGAUAGUUGGAGUCAACAGUACUGCUGGGCGAGAGGUGAAAUUCAUUGACCCUAGCAAGACUACCAAAAGCGAAAGCAGUUGGCUAGGCUAUACUCUUUGUGAUUGUAGAUUAUAUGUGCUGCAACAUAUUACAAUCGCCGCGUGAUUAUCACACACAUGAUUCACUCGCGCGCGCGCGUAAUAAUACACACAUAUAAUUCUACUCUAACACCAUUUACAAUGAAGAACGAAGGUUGGGGGAUCAAAGAGGAUCAGAUACCCUCGUCGUCCCAUUAAUUACAUCAAACGAUGGGCUCUCAAUUGCAUUUUUUACGUUAAAUUGCAAAUAUCCUCAGCCUACAAAAUAACUUGGCUUGAGCUCGUAAGCUUGUCGCUGUAAUCUCCCUCGCGAGUUACACGUUGAUAUUUUUACGCUCGCCUAAUAAUUUUAGUACGGUCUCUGAUGGACAUUUCAUUUACUAAUAUAAUUUUUUGCGUGUAAGCAUUGUAUCAAUCUUUGAAACAUAAGAUUAUACUGCGUGCACUUGAUUUUCGGAGCUUUGCGCUCAAUUUCUGGUGAGAUGUAAGCAUCAUGCAAUUGUUACCCGCAGUGUAUGUCUUUGGGCAUUUCAUCUGUCGUGUGUAACUUGCACUUUUCGGUGUGAAGCACGCUUUGGGCACGCGCUUACUGCAGAAAUGUCUGAGACAUUCCCCUCCGGGGGUAGUAUGCACGCAAGUGUGAAACUUGAAGGAAUUGACGGAAGGGCACCACAAGAACGCGUGGAGCAUGUGGCUUAAUUUGACUCAACGCGGGAAAUCUUACCGGGUCCGGACACACUGAGGAUUGACAGGCACUAUUAUGCUGUAUGUCUCUGUACUGCAGCAUAUGUUAAAUAUGCUAGUCCUUUCAUGAUUAUGUGAUAGGUGGUGCAUGGCCGUUCUUAGUUCGUGGAGUGAUCUGUCUGCUUAAUUGCGUUUCACUAAGGGUCCAUAUAAUUAUGUACGUUGCGGCGCUUUGACCCCUAUGCAUCUGCUCAUCGUUAGUUAGUAUGCUAUAGCGCGAGUCUCUGUCUGCUUAGCUCGUGCGGUUGGAUCCUGAAAGCAACGAACGUGACCGCAACCUCUUGUUGCCUUUAAUACUACACAACAAUGCGUCAUCUACUAUUUUGUAGCGUGACCAUUGUAAAAAAGGCUUUUUAAACUAGAGGGACCGCUGUUACUUUCUUAAACCAGAGGAAGGUUGCGGCAAUAACAGGUCUGUGAUGCCCUUAGAUGUUCCGGGCUGCACACGUGCUACAAUGAUUAUUGCAGUGAGCAUCUCAUUUUUAACACAUCGCAAGCGCGAGUCCAUUUAUGCAGGUUCUAACAUUAUCAUGUGUUAGUAAUAUUGUUUUAAAUGUGUAUCUCUGCGCGCGAUAAAGCCUGCUUCGAAAGUAAGUGGGUAAUCAAUUAGAAGUAAUGAUUUCCAUUUUUUACAGCACGAAUAUAUGUGGCGACUUUUCCCAGCCAGCCUUGUUGCUGGAUUCUUGUGUGAAUUGUUGUUUUUUUAUUACACAUGUGCAAUUGUCAAUUCAUGGUGGGGACAGACCAUUGUUAAUUGUUGGUCUCGGUCUUAACUAGGAAUGCCUUGUACGGGUCUUUGGUUCAACAAACCACCCGGAAUACGUCCCUGCCCUUUGUACACACCGCCCGUCGCUCUUACCGAUGGACUUCUCUGUGAGUUUCAAGGACUGGGGUUUCAUUUAUUUGCUAACUCUAUGGAAAUUGAAACGAACAGUGUGGUCUAAAGGAAAGAGAAGUCGUAACAAGGCAUCGGUAGGUGAACCUGCAGAAGGAUCA
RNAcentral lists this ribosomal RNA (3365 nucleotides) under Planorbulinella sp. 358. RNAcentral's name for it is "SSU rRNA". It matches the Rfam family "Eukaryotic small subunit ribosomal RNA". The record is from RNAcentral. Lineage: Eukaryota; Foraminifera; Rotaliida; Planorbulinidae.